CAGCGCUGACGCAGCUGGUCUCCAGGGAACUGGAGGCGGGGACACAUUGAACCGUCACUUAGUAGGUGGAACACGCCCAUCUUUGUUAUCCGGAAACCAUCGGGGUCCUUCCGUUUAUUGCAUGAUCUUCGGGCUGUUAAUGCACAGCUCGUCCAGUUCGGUCCCGUUCAGCAAGGCGGUCCAUCACUUGCAGCUGUUCCCAGGGGAUGGCCCCUUGUGGUCAUUGACCUUAAGGAUUGUUUUUUCUCCAUCCCUUUGGCAGAACAGGACCGGGAGGCUUUUGCAUUCAC
Molecule: non-coding RNA, 290 nt
Organism: Gallus gallus (chicken)
Lineage: Eukaryota; Metazoa; Chordata; Aves; Galliformes; Phasianidae
Source: Rfam